This 443-nucleotide ribosomal RNA is filed under the name uncultured bacterium. Its description in RNAcentral is "partial 16S ribosomal RNA". It matches the Rfam family "Bacterial small subunit ribosomal RNA", at positions 338 to 795 of the family's 1533-position model. The record is from RNAcentral.
CCUACGGGUGGCAGCAGUGGGGAAUAUUGGGCAAUGGAGGCAACUCUGACCCAGCAACGCCGCGUGAGCGAUGAAGGUCUUCGGAUUGUAAAGCUCUUUAAGCGGGGACGAAGUAAGUGACUUUACCCGUUGAAUAAGACUCGGCUAACUACGUGCCAGCAGCCGCGGUAAUACGUCGGGGGCAAGCGUUAGCCGGAAUGACUGGGCGUAAGGGGUGGGUAGGUGGCUUGGCAAGUUGGUAGCGUAAUCCCGGGGCUCAACCUCGGUGCUACUACCAAGACUGUUGAACUAGAGUGCAGGAGGGGUAAAUGGAAUUCCUAGUGUAGCGGUGGAAUGCGUAGAUAUUAGGAAGAACACCAGCGGCGAAGGCGAUUCACUGGACUGUAACUGACGCUGAGGCACGAAAGCGUGGGGAGCAAACAGGAUUAGAUACCCGUGUAGUC